RNAcentral lists this transfer RNA (88 nucleotides) under Rhodospirillaceae bacterium. RNAcentral describes it as "tRNA-Ser". Lineage: Bacteria; Pseudomonadati; Pseudomonadota; Alphaproteobacteria; Rhodospirillales; Rhodospirillaceae. RNAcentral also lists the same sequence under 1 other name. The record is from RNAcentral.
GGAGACUCGCAAGGUUGGCGUGCUUAUCGGUCUUGAAAACCGUGAUGUCCGAAAGGGCGUGGGAGUUCGAUCCUCUCAGUCUCCGCCA